This is a long non-coding RNA of Malaclemys terrapin pileata, 813 nucleotides long. RefSeq lists it as uncharacterized. The record is from RefSeq and is a predicted model, not a curated record. The transcript is spliced from 5 exons. Lineage: Eukaryota; Metazoa; Chordata; Testudines; Emydidae.
GACUAUUACUGUGCUGUUAAAACCAGCAGCUAUCUGAUUUUCGGCAAUGGAUCCACACUGAUUGUUGGAGACAGCUACACCACCAGCAGCUGGGUUUUGCUUCUUGCUCCAUCUCUCCCUGGUCUCAUCUCCACUGGGACGGUUGAUCUGGCUUGCAUUGUCCAUGGAGUUUCCAACCCAGUCCAAAUUUCCUGGAAUAUUUCUGGGGAUUGGCAGGAACAGGCACUAAUGCGAUCACUGAAAGCAAAGGAUGGAUCCUUAAUGCUCAUAAGUCACAUUAGCAUCCCGAAGGACGCCUGGAUCAGUGCGAAAAUUCUCACCUGUGAAGUCAAAUUCAACUCUUCUGGCAACAGCGUGAAGAAAAGUGCCAGGCUUUGACGAUGGAUGCUGUCAGUACGCCGUUCCCCUGGCAGUAGGGGGAGCCCUGGUGCUGUUGAUGGUGUCUCUGAGCCUUGUUUGGAUUUGCUGCCCUUCCACUCGAGGAUUCCAGGCCUGCCGCUCAGCACCGCCAGCCCCAGAGGAGCACCAGGAUGGGCUCGUGUACUGUCAGCUGGAUUUUGAUUCGAGGCAGCGUGGCCGGAGCACGAUGGAACGACCGGCGAGAGGGAAGAGUGAAAAAUCCUGACCUACCUGGUACAGGGGGAUCUGAACUGGCAAACUGACUGCUGAUCCGAAUGGGAUGAGUUGAAUCCUUCCUGGCUCCCAGGUCUCAUGUGGGCUCAAUCUCUGCACCGAUCGAGCAAAACCAAGUUAGUUACGUUAGUGUAAACCCCGUGUAGGGACGCGGCUUUACGGCUAAUUAAAAGGUAUUGG